AGUCCUGCACAUAGAAAAGCUAUUAGAGGGUGAAAAGAUUUAGAGACUGAAUUGCAUUAUUUAAAUGAUUUUUCAAAUGAUGAUUUAGAGAAUGAGCUUUAAGAAGUCUCUUGGAGAUGCUCUAAGCUGACUAGUUAGAACCAACAAGAAUCCAGUUGGUAACACACCAACAUAUAUAGCUAGAUAGAACUAAUUGGAAAAUAUAUCCAGUAGCAACAAGUUCCACCCAAAACUACUUUGAACCAAUCAAAACCAAAUGGGGAACUAGACUAUAGCAUCAACUAGUUUCAAACAUGCCUAAUAGAACUAGCCAUAACCAAG
RNAcentral lists this long non-coding RNA (321 nucleotides) under Sorghum bicolor (sorghum). Its description in RNAcentral is "long non-coding RNA (SBIC_LNC006064)". Lineage: Eukaryota; Viridiplantae; Streptophyta; Magnoliopsida; Poales; Poaceae. The record is from RNAcentral.